Kogia breviceps (pygmy sperm whale) is the source of this 3352-nucleotide non-coding RNA. NCBI's taxonomy places the organism in Eukaryota, Metazoa, Chordata, Mammalia, Artiodactyla, Physeteridae. The record is from RefSeq and is a predicted model, not a curated record.
GCUCCGCGGCAUAUGGGAUCCUCCCAGACCGGGGCACGAACCCGUGUCCCCUGCAUCUGCAGGCGGACUCUCAACCACUGUGCCACCAGGGAAGCCCUCUGUGCAUGUUUUCUAUUGAGUUGAUGGGCCUUGAGAGAAGGUUCUGAAAUAAACAAUAAUUAUUUGCCUGGCAAAAGUCUUCUAGAAUCAUAAAGUUAUGCUAAUGAAGACAGUGGAAUAGUCAAGUCAUGUAAAUGGGGACAGUGAGCUGUGUGGGGUUGGUGAUCUGGAUUUGCAGUAUACACUUACAUUAUCUAUAUACAUACUCAUGUUACCUUUAUCCAUGAACUCUGCUAUAAUGUGCUCAGGUGAGGGGGAAAUGAAAAUAGAAGCACCUCCUGUGUAUGACUGUGAACACCCAGAGGGGGCAUCUUUAACUAAUUUGCACUAAGACUCCAUAUAGGCAAUUGGCAGCACUAUACAAUGUACUUUUUAAACACAAAGAUCUGCACUCUGAGUCUACACAUGAUCUGUUCCUUGCUUUUUGCUCACCAAUGCAUUGUAGGGAUCUUUCCAUAUUGGCACAUAUAGAUCGCUUUCAUUUCUGUAAGAGCUGCAAGGUAAUCCUUAGAAAUUUAUCAUAAGUAUUUAACCAGUCUCAUAUUGUUGGACACUUGAAUGGUUUCUAGUUUUUAGCUCUUAUAAUAUUGCCAUGAACAUCCUUCGGUGGAAGUAUCUAACCCAAGUUGCCUGGUUUAAAAGUCCCUACUCUGUUACAUACUGUGUAACCUUGAGCAAGUCUCUUGAUCUCUUCACCUUCAGUUUACUCAUCUGUAAAAUGGGCACAGAACCUUCUUCAUUAUGUCAUGUUGAGGAUUAAAUGAGAUGAUCCACAUAAAACAUUUUUCAGCCCACCUUCACAUAGUAAGCACUCAAUAAAUGUCAACUCUUCUAAUUGUUCAUAAUUCCCAUGGGGUAAGUUUCUACUAGUGAGAUUUCUGGGUCAAGGCACAUGCAGUUUUCAUUUUAAUAGAUACAAAUUGCCUUCCAACAAAGGUGUACAAAUUUAAGUCCUACUGACUGUGUUUGAGAGUAGCUAUUUCUCUGAAACGGGAAUCAUCAACUUUUUUUUUUUUUUUUUUUGUGGUACGUGGGCCUCUCACUGUUGUGGCCUCUCCCACUGUGGAGCACAGGCUCAGCAGCCAUGGCUCACAGGCCUAAACGCUCUGCAGCAUGUGGGAUCUUCCCAGACUGGGGCACAAACCCGUGUCCCCUGCAUCGGCAGGCGGACUCGCAACCACUGUGCAACCAGGGAAGCCCGGAAUCAUCAACUUUUGACCUUUACUCCAGUCUGAGAGUUUUAAUAUCUUAUUGUUGUUUUGACUUGCAUCUCUUUAAUGUGAAUGAAAUGGAACAUUUGUGUUUCUUUUACUUGCUUACCCAUUUUUCUAUUGGGUUAUUGUUCUUUUCCUUAGGUUUCUAUGAGCCCACUGUAAGGAGAUUGACUUCUAUCAUCUGUAAUAUAGAAUUUUCUGCUUGUCUUAUGAUUUUAUAAGUAGUAAUUUGGGAGAGUCCAUUCAUGAAUUUUAAUUUUUCCAGUAGUAAAAUUCAUCAGUCUUUUCCUUAACAGUCUCUGGAGUCUGCUUCCUCCUUGGAAAGUCUUCCCUAAACAAAAGUAUACGUAAAAAAUCAUUCAUGCUUCUUUUUACAGCUUCCAUGGAUUCAUUGAUUCUUUGCUCCAGAUGGUAUUUAUUUUGAUGUAAGAAGUAAGAUGAGAAGGGAUUUUUUUUAAUGGUUGCUGGUUUUCCCCCAAGACAUUUGCUGAAUUCUAUUUCUUUUUUUCUUGUGUCUGAAAUGCCACCCUUAAAUUCCCAUAUGUAUUUUGUGUCUCCUGCCUCUGUGCACUUUCCACUCUGUUUCACUGAAGUGCUUAUUGUAUACUAUCCUGUUUUAAUUUGAAUAACUUUAUAAUAGGUUUUAAUAUGGUUGGGUCAGUGACCCAUCUCUACUCUUUUACUUCCAAAUUUCAUUGGCCUAUCUCGCAUUUAUAUUUUAUUUCCAACAUUUCUUUUAUUACAAACUAGAAGCCAGAUGAAUUCUAGAGUUUUUUGGUUAGGUUUCCCCCCAAAUCUUGAUGGUAUGCUAUUUUGAGAUUGCUCUGAAUUUAUAAUUAAUUUAGGAGAGUUAAAUUAUAGUUUUGAGUCAUCCUAUCCAAAAGUAAUGUGUGUAUUCCUAUUCAUUUUAAUCCUCUUUCAUGUCUUCCAGUAGAAUUGGGAGAUUUUGUUCACAUAGACCCUGAAAAUUUCCUUUAAGGUUUAUACCAAGCAAGUGAAAACUGUUGUGUCACUUCCUUCUGGUCUUCAUGGUUUCUGAUGAGAAAUCUGCUGUGAUUUGAAUUAUCUAUCCUCUAUUGGUUUGGUUUUCUACUGGACACCCCCAUAUGUUCUGGAAUUACAGAAGGGAAAUGAAAGCCCCGAGGGAGGCCUGGGGACUCCCACCAACUCUACCUGGAGCUGGUUCUACCCACUGCCUACUGACUUUGGAGAAGGCAGCACUUUAUCAUUUCAUCUUCCACUACCCCCAACAAGAGGAAGAUUUUGUUGAACUUUACUUACUGUACCUGGCAUUAGGAAAACAAGAGUCUGUUGCUGAGGAUCACUGCAGGGGUGAAUUUUUAAUGAGAAGACCUAGGAGAAGGGGCUUGCCCAGUACUGCCUGUCACACUUGGUGCCGUCUGGGCACCCUCGUGUACCUUUUGGUAAAGGACUCAGCCACCUUGCUAUAGCAGCCCAGACCCAGCCAGAAUACAGGAUUGGUGAAGUCCGUGCAAAAUGUAUAAAGUUUUCCCACUUGAAAUUUGAAUAGGAACCCCCACACCUUCCCAUCAAGGCCUGGCUCUGAAUGUCCACACUGCAAGCAGGCUGCUUACUUUGGCAGUUUUCUUGGCUCUCCACCACCCCCCUCCACCCAGUGAUACCAUAUCCCCCUCAGAGUCUCAUCUGCUGGCAUUCCUGGAUUCCUGAGGACAGCCCUGGCUCAACUCCAGAAUCUGUACGCAAGUGAGUGACUCAGCCUGUCUCAUGCAGUGAGCAAAGGCUUCUGGUUCAGAGAAUGUUAAGCAGUUGAUAAGUAAAUCUGUCCUGUAUCCCAGAAAAGCAGGACCCAACUCUCUCCUGGGCCGUUGUCUCAGCUGCCUCCCCACACAAAAGCUGUUGCUUUAAAGAGGAGGCCCUUUGCCAAGUGGCCAAACUCCUUUGUCCCUGCAAAUAAAACUUUCCACUAGGUGGCCUUCAAGUUCCUAUUAAGGAGAAGAGGGGAAAAAAGGACAAAAUCCAAAUCUUUAGAGAGAGAGAAAGAGAGAGAGAGAGAGAGA